Molecule: ribosomal RNA, 677 nt
Filed under: uncultured bacterium
Lineage: Bacteria
Description: bacterial SSU rRNA
Rfam family: Bacterial small subunit ribosomal RNA
Source: RNAcentral
UGCAAGUCGAACGAAGUCUUCGGACUUAGUGGCGCACGGGUGAGUAACACGUGGGAAUAUACCUCUCAGUGGGGGAUAACGUCGGGAAACUGACGCUAAUACCGCAUACGCCCUUCGGGGGAAAGAUUUAUCGCUGAGAGAUUAGCCCGCGUCCGAUUAGCUAGUUGGUAAGGUAAUGGCUUACCAAGGCAACGAUCGGUAGCUGGUCUGAGAGGAUGAUCAGCCACACUGGGACUGAGACACGGCCCAGACUCCUACGGGAGGCAGCAGUGGGGAAUAUUGGACAAUGGGCGAAAGCCUGAUCCAGCCAUGCCGCGUGAGUGAUGAAGGCCUUAGGGUUGUAAAGCUCUUUCGACGGGGACGAUGAUGACGGUACCCGUAGAAGAAGCCCCGGCUAACUUCGUGCCAGCAGCCGCGGUAAUACGAAGGGGGCUAGCGUUGUUCGGAAUUACUGGGCGUAAAGCGCACGCAGGCGGUGAUCAUAGUCAGAAGUGAAAGCCCUGGGCUCAACCCGGGAAUUGCUUUUGAUACUGGGUCACUAGAAUCACGGAGAGGGUAGUGGAAUUCCGAGUGUAGAGGUGAAAUUCGUAGAUAUUCGGAAGAACACCAGUGGCGAAGGCGACUACCUGGCCGUCGAUUGACGCUCAUGUGCGAAAGCGUGGGGAGCAAACAGGAUU